Molecule: transfer RNA, 77 nt
Filed under: Nitrospina sp.
Lineage: Bacteria; Pseudomonadati; Nitrospinota; Nitrospinia; Nitrospinales; Nitrospinaceae
Also listed under: 1 other name
Description: tRNA-Met
Rfam family: tRNA
About the family: Transfer RNA (tRNA) molecules are approximately 80 nucleotides in length. Their secondary structure includes four short double-helical elements and three loops (D, anti-codon, and T loops). Further hydrogen bonds mediate the characteristic L-shaped molecular structure. tRNAs have two regions of fundamental functional importance: the anti-codon, which is responsible for specific mRNA codon recognition, and the 3' end, to which the tRNAs corresponding amino acid is attached (by aminoacyl-tRNA synthetases). tRNAs cope with the degeneracy of the genetic code in two manners: having more than one tRNA (with a specific anti-codon) for a particular amino acid; and 'wobble' base-pairing, i.e. permitting non-standard base-pairing at the 3rd anti-codon position.
Source: RNAcentral
GGCGGUGUAGCUCAGCUGGUUAGAGCAUACGGUUCAUAUCCGUAGGGUCGGGAGUUCAAAUCUCUCCACCGCUACCA